AGUGAACGCUGGCGGUAGGCCUAACACAUGCAAGUCGAACGGCAGCACAGUAAGAGCUUGCUCUUACGGGUGGCGAGUGGCGGACGGGUGAGGAAUACAUCGGAAUCUACUUUUUCGUGGGGGAUAACGUAGGGAAACUUACGCUAAUACCGCAUACGACCUACGGGUGAAAGCAGUGGAUCUUCGGACCUUGCGCGAUUGAAUGAGCCGAUGUCGGAUUAGCUAGUUGGCGGGGUAAAGGCCCAGCAAGGCGACGAUCCGUAGCUGGUCUGAGAGGAUGAUCAGCCACACUGGAACUGAGACACGGUCCAGACUCCUACGGGAGGCAGCAGUGGGGAAUAUUGGACAAUGGGCGCAAGCCUGAUCCAGCCAUACCGCGUGGGUGAAGAAGGCCUUCGGGUUGUAAAGCCCUUUUGUUGGGAAAGAAAAGCAGCAGGUUAAUACCCCGCUGUUCUGACGGUACCCAAAGAAUAAGCACCGGCUAACUUCGUG
Molecule: ribosomal RNA, 492 nt
Filed under: uncultured bacterium
Lineage: Bacteria
Description: partial 16S ribosomal RNA
Rfam family: Bacterial small subunit ribosomal RNA
Source: RNAcentral